UCUAGUAUGGCAGAAUAGUGCAAUAAAUUUAAGAUUUAUAUAUGAGUAAAACUCUACUAGAA
RNAcentral lists this transfer RNA (62 nucleotides) under Rubellomiris bispinosus. Its description in RNAcentral is "tRNA-Leu". Lineage: Eukaryota; Metazoa; Arthropoda; Insecta; Hemiptera; Miridae. The record is from RNAcentral.